Molecule: ribosomal RNA, 468 nt
Filed under: uncultured bacterium
Lineage: Bacteria
Description: partial 16S ribosomal RNA
Rfam family: Bacterial small subunit ribosomal RNA
Source: RNAcentral
GACGAACGCUGGCGGCGUGCUUAACACAUGCAAGUCGAACGGAAAGGCCCUGCUUUUGUGGGGUUCUCGAGUGGCGAACGGGUGAGUAACACGUGAGUAACCUGCCCUUGACUUUGGGAUAACUUCAGGAAACUGGGGCUAAUACCGGAUAGGAGCUCCUGCUGCAUGGUGGGGGUUGGAAAGUUUCGGCGGUUGGGGAUGGUCUCGCGGCUUAUCAGCUUGUUGGUGGGGUAGUGGCUUACCAAGGCUAUGACGGGUAGCCGGCCUUGGAGGGUGACCGGGCACAUGGGGACUGAGGUAGGGACCAGAAGGCAAUGGGAGGCAGUGGGGGGGAACAUUACGGAGUAGGGCGGAGUGUGAUAUGAAAACCUCGGGUGCGGAAAGACGGGCUUUGGGUUAAAAACAGAUUUGGACGUUACCGAAGCCUUAGUGACGGUAACUGGUAAAAAAGCAACGGCUAACUACGUG